RNAcentral lists this ribosomal RNA (836 nucleotides) under Arxotrichum gangligerum. RNAcentral describes it as "LSU rRNA". It matches the Rfam family "Eukaryotic large subunit ribosomal RNA", at positions 98 to 968 of the family's 3401-position model. Lineage: Eukaryota; Fungi; Ascomycota; Sordariomycetes; Sordariales; Chaetomiaceae. The record is from RNAcentral.
GCGGCAACAGCUCAAUUUGAAAUCUGGCUUCGGCCCGAGUUGUAAUUUGCAGAGGAAGCUUUAGGCGCGGCACCUUCUGAGUCCCCUGGAACGGGGCGCCAUAGAGGGUGAGAGCCCCGUAUAGUUGGAUGCCUAGCCUGUGUAAAGCUCCUUCGACGAGUCGAGUAGUUUGGGAAUGCUGCUCAAAAUGGGAGGUAAAUUUCUUCUAAAGCUAAAUACCGGCCAGAGACCGAUAGCGCACAAGUAGAGUGAUCGAAAGAUGAAAAGCACUUUGAAAAGAGGGUUAAAUAGCACGUGAAAUUGUUGAAAGGGAAGCGCUUGUGACCAGACUUGCGCCGGGCGGAUCAUCCGGUGUUCUCACCGGUGCACUCCGCCCGGCUCAGGCCAGCAUCGGUUCUCGCGGGGGGAUAAAGGCCCUGGGAACGUAGCUCCUCCGGGAGUGUUAUAGCCCAGGGCGUAAUGCCCUCGCGGGGACCGAGGACCGCGCAUCUGCAAGGAUGCUGGCGUAAUGGUCAUCAGCGACCCGUCUUGAAACACGGACCAAGGAGUCAAGGUUUUGCGCGAGUGUUUGGGUGUAAAACCCGCACGCGUAAUGAAAGUGAACGUAGGUGAGAGCUUCGGCGCAUCAUCGACCGAUCCUGAUGUUUUCGGAUGGAUUUGAGUAGGAGCGUUAAGCCUUGGACCCGAAAGAUGGUGAACUAUGCUUGGAUAGGGUGAAGCCAGAGGAAACUCUGGUGGAGGCUCGCAGCGGUUCUGACGUGCAAAUCGAUCGUCAAAUCUGAGCAUGGGGGCGAAAGACUAAUCGAACCAUCUAGUAGCUGGUUACCGCCGAAGUU